RNAcentral lists this ribosomal RNA (292 nucleotides) under Cryptosporidium xiaoi. RNAcentral describes it as "partial 18S ribosomal RNA". It matches the Rfam family "Eukaryotic small subunit ribosomal RNA", at positions 215 to 520 of the family's 1831-position model. Lineage: Eukaryota; Apicomplexa; Conoidasida; Eucoccidiorida; Cryptosporidiidae. The record is from RNAcentral.
GGUAAUUCCAUCAUCAAUAGCGUGUGGUGACUCAUAAUAACUUUACGGAUCACAUUAUGUGACAUAUCAUUCAAGUUUCUGACCUAUCCGCUUUAAACGGUAGGGUAUUGGCCUACCGUGGCUAUGACGGGUAACGUCGGGAAUUAGGGUUCGAUUCCGGAGAGGGAGCCUGAGAAACGGCUACCACAUCUAAGGAAGGCAGCAGGCGCGCAAAUUACCCAAUCCUAAUACAGGGAGGUAGUGACAAGAAAUAACAAUACAGAACCUUACGGUUUUGUAAUUGGAAUGAGUA